AAAUACCUUUGAAAGUUUCAAGGGGUAUUUUGGUCAUUAUAUUUUAUUGAAAAUUUAUUUUUAAUAUUUUUUAUUGGUGCGCCCCAAUGAGAAGAUUCCACAUACAAAAUUUCAUAUUCAUAAAAUUUGUAUUAAAAAAACUAAAAAUAAAAUACUUUGAGACGUCGGAUCUAAGAUCAAAUGGUGAGUGGCUCUCUUGAUCAAAAUUGGACACCUGGAUGGUAGGGGAAGGAUAGAACUUCUAUGUUAUAGGGGAAGCAUAGAAACCUUUCUUGACAUCGAGAUAUAUGAUGAAAAAUAAAAAGAUUUUAAGUCUCAGACAUAGUGCAUUUUACAAUAUAUUAUCUACAACGUCCACUU
This 360-nucleotide long non-coding RNA is filed under the name Amborella trichopoda. RNAcentral describes it as "long non-coding RNA (ATRI_LNC001754)". Lineage: Eukaryota; Viridiplantae; Streptophyta; Magnoliopsida; Amborellales; Amborellaceae. The record is from RNAcentral.